GAUGAACGCUGGCGGCGUGCCUAAUACAUGCAAGUCGAGCGAACAGACGAGGAGCUUGCUCCUUUGACGUUAGCGGCGGACGGGUGAGUAACACGUGGGUAACCUACCUAUAAGACUGGGACAACUUCGGGAAACCGGAGCUAAUACCGGAUAAUAUUUCGAACCGCAUGGUUCGAUAGUGAAAGAUGGCUUUGCUAUCACUUAUAGAUGGACCUGCGCCGUAUUAGCUAGUUGGUAAGGUAACGGCUUACCAAGGCAACGAUACGUAGCCGACCUGAGAGGGUGAUCGGCCACACUGGAACUGAGACACGGUCCAGACUCCUACGGGAGGCAGCAGUAGGGAAUCUUCCGCAAUGGGCGAAAGCCUGACGGAGCAACGCCGCGUGAGUGAUGAAGGUCUUCGGAUCGUAAAACUCUGUUAUUAGGGAAGAACAAACGUGUAAGUAACUGUGCACGUCUUGACGGUACCUAAUCAGAAAGCCACGGCUAACUACGUA
This 497-nucleotide ribosomal RNA is filed under the name uncultured bacterium. RNAcentral's name for it is "partial 16S ribosomal RNA". It matches the Rfam family "Bacterial small subunit ribosomal RNA", at positions 28 to 507 of the family's 1533-position model. The record is from RNAcentral.